Molecule: long non-coding RNA, 520 nt
Filed under: Brassica napus (rape)
Lineage: Eukaryota; Viridiplantae; Streptophyta; Magnoliopsida; Brassicales; Brassicaceae
Description: long non-coding RNA (BNAP_LNC021166)
Source: RNAcentral
AUGAAUAUCACAACUUAGCAAUCUAUAGUUGGGGUUAAUCCCUCAUAACCUAAUUAAACCCUAAACCUAACAAUAGAACUACUCAGACAUGGCUAAGAAAUUCAUAACAACAAUUAGAUAUAAAAACUACAUAGAUAAACAGAUAUAUAUUAAUAGAGUUCCAACCACAAAUCUCUUUGGAUCUCCUCUCCAACUCUACUAAAAUCCUAGAAAACCUUUGAUGUGAAAAUAAGAAAACAAGAAAACAAGAAAGCACACUUUGCCUCUAACAUGUUGGCAAGCUAUAAAUAUUAGGUUAAAACUCGUCAGGGGUAAUCUUGUAAAUUGGUGAAGUCUUGGGCUCUAAGUCAGCUGGAACCAAACGGGCUUUUGUGCGCUUCGCCAUCGACCGAUGUCACAGGAUGUGCAUCAAUCGAUUAUUGUCUCUGAAUGUCGACCAUUGGUCUUGCUCGAUGGUCAGCUCGGAUGCUUUCUCCAAUUAUCUCCAAAAUGCUCCAAAAUCAUCACUUUCUUCCAAAUC